GGCGAGGGGAGUGAAAAAGAACCUGAAACCGUGUACGUACAAGCAGUAGGAGCCCCACCACCAAAGCGUUUCGCUUUGCGUGGUGCGCAAAAUGCGUAACGACAGCAUGAUGGACGGUUAACGGAGCGUCAGCGACGUUCAACGUCAAAAAUCAGGCAGUGGAGCGUUUUGGGGUGGGGUGACUGCGUACCUUUUGUAUAAUGGGUCAGCGACUUAUAUUCUGUAGCAAGG
RNAcentral lists this ribosomal RNA (231 nucleotides) under Klebsiella oxytoca. Its description in RNAcentral is "partial 23S ribosomal RNA". It matches the Rfam family "Bacterial large subunit ribosomal RNA", at positions 528 to 645 of the family's 2925-position model. Lineage: Bacteria; Pseudomonadati; Pseudomonadota; Gammaproteobacteria; Enterobacterales; Enterobacteriaceae. The record is from RNAcentral.